Molecule: long non-coding RNA, 457 nt
Filed under: Ananas comosus (pineapple)
Lineage: Eukaryota; Viridiplantae; Streptophyta; Magnoliopsida; Poales; Bromeliaceae
Description: long non-coding RNA (ACOM_LNC043120)
Source: RNAcentral
GGGGCCGGUUCGUUCGCGGCAAACAACAGAUUAACGUGAGGUGUUGAGUAACAUAUUUCGAUAACACACCACGUAAGUCUUGUGACUCAUUUGCGGUUUUCACGGUUGCGUUACUUAAGAUAAUCAUGAGAACAAGAAAUAAUUGUGGGGUCGAACCCUUUCAUUACAGGAGAGGGACUUUGUGAUGUUUGAUUCGGUGUGUGUCGAAACGUUUUAGAGUAUAAACGAAUUAAGUCAGUGAUAUGCUAUGUUAGUUGGGUGAUGACUUAAUAUAGCACUUCUACAUGUGUUUCAUUCGUCAGGUCGCGCACUCCAUUAUCUGUAUGAAGAGAAGAAUGAGAGAGAGAGAAUUGCCCAAUGUGGCCAAGUGGGAGAUUUUUGUCAUGUGGUAUGUCCACAUUUGCGGAUCUUAAUUUAACCCGAUCCACAUAAGAUAUGGAUUGUAAUUUAUUCUAAU